CUCUUGAUGCCCAUGACUAAUAUCUAAAAAUUUUGGGACACCCAAAAUUGGGUUGGGCGUGGACUCUAUGGUGCGUCCUCCCCUUGGAUGAAAACCCUAGCCCUAGUCUAUAAAAGGGUGGCUCCUCUCUUGGCAUCAUAUAUUGGCUUCUCUUGCUGAUUUUUAUUUUCCAUAGCCCUUUCUUCUCUUCCUCUCUUCCUCCUCCAGAUAUCCUCUUACUUUGGAGCAUCCAAGGUG
This 237-nucleotide long non-coding RNA is filed under the name Elaeis guineensis (African oil palm). Its description in RNAcentral is "long non-coding RNA (EGUI_LNC043129)". Lineage: Eukaryota; Viridiplantae; Streptophyta; Magnoliopsida; Arecales; Arecaceae. The record is from RNAcentral.